This 468-nucleotide ribosomal RNA is filed under the name uncultured bacterium. RNAcentral's name for it is "partial 16S ribosomal RNA". It matches the Rfam family "Bacterial small subunit ribosomal RNA", at positions 28 to 507 of the family's 1533-position model. The record is from RNAcentral.
GACGAACGCUGGCGGCGUGCUUAACACAUGCAAGUCGAACGGAAAGGCCCUGCUUUUGUGGGGUGCUCGAGUGGCGAACGGGUGAGUAACACGUGAGUAACCUGCCCUUGACUUUGGGAUAACUUCAGGAAACUGGGGCUAAUACCGGAUAGGAGCUCCUGCUGCAUGGUGGGGGUUGGAAAGUUUCGGCGGUUGGGGAUGGACUCGCGGCUUAUCAGCUUGUUGGUGGGGUAGUGGCUUACCAAGGCUUUGACGGGUAGCCGGCCUGAGAGGGUGACCGGCCACAUUGGGACUGAGAUACCGCCCAGACUCCUACGGGAGGCAGCAGUGCGGCAUAUUGCACAAUGGGCGGAAGCCUGAUGCAGCAACGCCGCGUGCGGGAUGACGGCCUUCGGGUUGUAACCCGCUUUCGCCUGUGACGAAGCGUGAGUGACGGUAAUGGGUACAGAAGCACCGGCUAACUACGUG